This 260-nucleotide long non-coding RNA is filed under the name Manihot esculenta (cassava). RNAcentral's name for it is "long non-coding RNA (MESC_LNC005126)". Lineage: Eukaryota; Viridiplantae; Streptophyta; Magnoliopsida; Malpighiales; Euphorbiaceae. The record is from RNAcentral.
CAAUCUACCUUUAUAUUUUUUUUGUGUGUUUUUUCUUAGAAAAAUUGUUGUAUGUAGUGUGGUGGUUUCCUAAUUCAAUACCUAGAUUUGCUUUUCUAGACCGACAAAGAUGACUUGUGAUCACUAUGGAGAUAGUCUCUGAAGGUACAAAUGGAUUGCCAAAAAGUGAGCCCUUCCUCCUUGGUGGACAUCUUCGAGCUGUGCAAGUUACCCUUGAUCCAGAUGGAGAUGUUUUAGUUUGGAUGCUCCUCCAUUUUCAC